GUGCUCACUUAGGCAGCACAUAUACUAAAAUUGGAAUAACACAGAGAAGAUUAGCAUGGACCCUGCACAAGGAUGACACACAAAUUUGGAAGCGUUCCAUAUUUUU
Phyllostomus discolor (pale spear-nosed bat) is the source of this 106-nucleotide small nuclear RNA. The record is from RefSeq and is a predicted model, not a curated record. Lineage: Eukaryota; Metazoa; Chordata; Mammalia; Chiroptera; Phyllostomidae.